RNAcentral lists this ribosomal RNA (482 nucleotides) under uncultured bacterium. RNAcentral's name for it is "partial 16S ribosomal RNA". It matches the Rfam family "Bacterial small subunit ribosomal RNA", at positions 30 to 507 of the family's 1533-position model. The record is from RNAcentral.
AUUGAACGCUGGCGGCAUGCUUUACACAUGCAAGUCGAACGGUAACAGGCCGCAAGGUGCUGACGAGUGGCGAACGGGUGAGUAAUGCAUCGGAACGUGCCCAGUCGUGGGGGAUAACUACUCGAAAGAGUAGCUAAUACCGCAUACGAUCUAUGGAUGAAAGCGUGGGACCGUAAGGCCUCGCGCGAUUGGAGCGGCCGAUGUCAGAUUAGGUAGUUGGUGGGGUAAAGGCUCACCAAGCCAACGAUCUGUAGCUGGUCUGAGAGGACAACCAGCCACACUGGGACUGAGACACGGCCCAGACUCCUACGGGAGGCAGCAGUGGGGAAUUUUGGACAAUGGGCGCAAGCCUGAUCCAGCAAUGCCGCGUGCAGGAAGAAGGCCUUCGGGUUGUAAACUGCUUUUGUACGGAACGAAACGGCUCUGGUUAAUACCCGGGGCUAAUGACGGUACCGUAAGAAUAAGCACCGGCUAACUACGUG